UCUCUGCUCUUGAAUAGGAGGCGCAGUCCUCUUUCUUACAGUUAGGCUUUCUUCCCAACCAAUUGUUCAAGCGCUUUUGAUUGCUACAUGCGCCUUAAUUUAGUUCAACAAAGAAACUGACAAGUUUCUA
Molecule: long non-coding RNA, 130 nt
Organism: Amblyraja radiata (thorny skate)
Lineage: Eukaryota; Metazoa; Chordata; Chondrichthyes; Rajiformes; Rajidae
Exons: 3
Source: RefSeq, a predicted model, not a curated record